This is a long non-coding RNA of Octodon degus (degu), 303 nucleotides long. RefSeq lists it as uncharacterized. The record is from RefSeq and is a predicted model, not a curated record. NCBI's taxonomy places the organism in Eukaryota, Metazoa, Chordata, Mammalia, Rodentia, Octodontidae. The transcript has 3 exons.
AGAUCUCCUUCAACAGCUGGGAUGUGACGGCCCAACACUUAGCCAGUACCUGGUACACUGAAAGGGACUGCAAGCAUCUUGAGAGUGAAGUCUACCAAGCAACACAACACAAAACAAAAAGCUUCCUGGAGAACGGAGUACAUCCUUGUUGCAUGGGCAGAGAAGGAAGAACGUGGAUCUGAGGAACCAUUGGAACCGUCUGCAAGAAGAAAGUACCACCCUGGUACAAGUGCCCUAAGUAAAGGGAAAGAAGCACCCCUGGAAGCGGCCUUACCCCUCCUGAGCCUGCAGAUGGCGUAAGAG